Molecule: ribosomal RNA, 468 nt
Filed under: uncultured bacterium
Lineage: Bacteria
Description: partial 16S ribosomal RNA
Rfam family: Bacterial small subunit ribosomal RNA
Source: RNAcentral
GACGAACGCUGGCGGCGUGCUUAACACAUGCAAGUCGAACGGAAAGGCCCUGCUUUUGUGGGGUGCUCGAGUGGCGAACGGGUGAGUAACACGUGAGUAACCUGCCCUUGACUUUGGGAUAACUUCAGGAAACUGGGGCUAAUACCGGAUAGGAGCUCCUGCUGCAUGGUGGGGGUUGGAAAGUUUCGGCGGUUGGGGAUGGACUCGCGGCUUAUCAGCUUGUUGGUGGGGUAGUGGCUUACCAAGGCUUUGACGGGUAGCCGGCCUGAGAGGGUGACCGGCCACAUUGGGACUGAGAUACGGCCCAGACUCCUACGGGCGGCCGCAGUGGGGAAUCUUGCCCAAUGGGCGGAAGCCUGAUGCAGCAACGCCGCGUGCGGGAUGACGGCCUUCGGGUUGUAAACCGCUUUCGCCUGUGACGAAGCGUGAGUGACGGUAAUGGGUAAAGAAGCACCGGCUAACUACGUG